GGAGAGGUGUCUGAGUGGUUGAAAGAGCCGGUCUCGAAAACCGGUGUACCCGUAAGGGUAUCGUGGGUUCGAAUCCCACCUUCUCCGCCA
Molecule: transfer RNA, 90 nt
Filed under: Bacteroidota bacterium
Lineage: Bacteria; Pseudomonadati; Bacteroidota
Description: tRNA-Ser
Rfam family: tRNA
About the family: Transfer RNA (tRNA) molecules are approximately 80 nucleotides in length. Their secondary structure includes four short double-helical elements and three loops (D, anti-codon, and T loops).
Source: RNAcentral